UUAUGGUGUAAGGGCUGAGAGCUUAGAGG
This 29-nucleotide non-coding RNA is filed under the name Homo sapiens (human). The record is from RNAcentral. Lineage: Eukaryota; Metazoa; Chordata; Mammalia; Primates; Hominidae.